AAAUUACACUUCUAAAUUCAGCUAUAAAAUGGUUUUCAAGUGCUGCGCCUAAUACUAUAAGGCGAACAACGUUAAAACAAAACCAUACUAUAUCUUUUGAGUAAAAAGAGCAGUAAGUAAAAAUGGCCUCAUCCAAGAUUGAGAAAAAUACCACCAAAGCCCCUAAUUCCUCAAUAAAAGCCCCUAAUACCUCAAUGAAAGCUCCUGCCUCCAAAUCAGGUCCUAAGAAGGUCGAGGUUGUCAAACCUCGAGAGACUAAGAAGAAGGCAUCAAGCACGGGAAACAAGUCUGCAGCCAAGAAUUAAGUAGGAGAAAAGGAGUCCAUACAUUAAUAUUACGUUUGGAGAUGCUACACUACUCUAGUGGUUCUCUUAAUGUUUUAUCGAUGUUUGUAGUACUUGGUUUUAAAUUUUAAAUCCAUGUAUCUCUGUUAGGCUUUGCCUAUAAUAAAAUAAAAACUACAUAUGUGAUCUAAAAUCAUAAA
Molecule: long non-coding RNA, 484 nt
Organism: Humulus lupulus (European hop)
Lineage: Eukaryota; Viridiplantae; Streptophyta; Magnoliopsida; Rosales; Cannabaceae
Exons: 2
Source: RefSeq, a predicted model, not a curated record